CAGUUACUCACAUAUGUCUUUAGAUAAUAACAUAGAGAAAAUUUUAUUAUUUUAUCAAACAAACAACAAAAAAAUAUAUUUUCUCUAUGUAUAACAAGCAGUAAAUUAUUCGAUUAGAUAGAUGGAUAGAUUAGAUUAGAGGCAUCAGUGUGAGAUAAUAUAGGUAAACCACUUAGUCAAAAUUGGAGAAAAUAUUCGUUAGGAGUUUCUGAAGCGUUGCUUAACUCAGUUGGUAACCCACAAUUUGGCCCGAAAGAACACAUUUUUUGGUUUCCACACCAAAUCUGCUCUCUGCCAAUUUAAGUUUUGGGACUUAUUAAAUGCUGCAGCAGUUUGUCAAAAUCAUCUGGUCACGACGAAAAUAAUUGAAGGAAAACGUCCAGAACUGGUUAAAGCGAGCGAAUGGGCGCGAAAAGUCGGUUAUACCCCCACCGGGUUAUGGUCGGGUGUCGCACCACAACCACUGUAUGUGGUUAAAUGCACCUGAUUUUUUAUUUUAUUAAUAAUUUAAAUAAAAUAUGCUUGUCCUUUAGAUGCCUUAUAGACGUACAUUCAUCGCAUAACCUCCGAUGGAUGUAGGAUUCUGUGACAUUUGCAUAAGAAAAUGGACGUCAAUUGGACAUCAGUCGGACAAAUUAUGAACAUCCAUUGGACAUGCAGAUGCACGAAAACCAAUGCAUUGGCAUAUGGAUGUCCAAUGGAUUCAAUAAUGUUGUUUGGGUGGUCAUUUUAAUAAUUGUAAUGUCUUCUUCAAAAUGGUGGUUUAUUUGUCGUUAAACCCCUGAAA
Molecule: long non-coding RNA, 787 nt
Organism: Dendroctonus ponderosae (mountain pine beetle)
Lineage: Eukaryota; Metazoa; Arthropoda; Insecta; Coleoptera; Curculionidae
Exons: 3
Source: RefSeq, a predicted model, not a curated record